GAUGAACGCUGGCGGCGUGCCUAAUACAUGCAAGUCGAGCGAACAGAUGAGGAGCUUGCUCCUCUGACGUUAGCGGCGGACGGGUGAGUAACACGUGGAUAACCUACCUAUAAGACUGGGAUAACUUCGGGAAACCGGAGCUAAUACCGGAUAAUAUAUUGAACCGCAUGGUUCAAUAGUGAAAGACGGUUUUGCUGUCACUUAUAGAUGGAUCCGCGCCGCAUUAGCUAGUUGGUAAGGUAACGGCUUACCAAGGCAACGAUGCCUAGCCGACCUGAGAGGGUUGUCGGCCGCCUCGGAACUUGGGAACGGGCCAGACGUCUACGGGAGGGAGCAGGAGGGAACCUUCCGCAAUGGGCGAAAGCCUGACGGAGCAACGCCGCGUGAGUGAUGAAGGUCUUCGGAUCGUAAAACUCUGUUAUUAGGGAAGAACAAAUGUGUAAGUAACUAUGCACGUCUUGACGGUACCUAAUCAGAAAGCCACGGCUAACUACGUG
RNAcentral lists this ribosomal RNA (497 nucleotides) under uncultured bacterium. RNAcentral describes it as "partial 16S ribosomal RNA". It matches the Rfam family "Bacterial small subunit ribosomal RNA", at positions 28 to 507 of the family's 1533-position model. The record is from RNAcentral.